CAGUAGCCGCGGUAACACGGAGGGUGCAAGCGUUAAUCGGAAUUACUGGGCGUAAAGCGCACGCAGGCGGUUUGUUAAGUCAGAUGUGAAAUCCCCGAGCUUAACUUGGGAACUGCAUUUGAAACUGGCAAGCUAGAGUCUUGUAGAGGGGGGUAGAAUUCCAGGUGUAGCGGUGAAAUGCGUAGAGAUCUGGAGGAAUACCGGUGGCGAAGGCGGCCCCCUGGACAAAGACUAACGCUCAGGUGCGAAAGCGUGGGGAGCAAACAGGAUUAGAUACCCGCGUAGUCCCUGUCUCUUAUAC
RNAcentral lists this ribosomal RNA (301 nucleotides) under uncultured bacterium. RNAcentral describes it as "partial 16S ribosomal RNA". It matches the Rfam family "Bacterial small subunit ribosomal RNA", at positions 509 to 807 of the family's 1533-position model. The record is from RNAcentral.